RNAcentral lists this ribosomal RNA (253 nucleotides) under uncultured bacterium. RNAcentral describes it as "partial 16S ribosomal RNA". It matches the Rfam family "Bacterial small subunit ribosomal RNA", at positions 524 to 776 of the family's 1533-position model. The record is from RNAcentral.
UACGGAGGGAGCUAGCGUUGUUCGGAAUUACUGGGCGUAAAGCGCACGUAGGCGGCUUUGUAAGUUAGAGGUGAAAGCCCAGAGCUCAACUCUGGAAUUGCCUUUUAGACUGCAUCGCUUGAAUCAUGGAGAGGUCAGUGGAAUUCCGAGUGUAGAGGUGAAAUUCGUAGAUAUUCGGAAGAACACCAGUGGCGAAGGCGGCUGACUGGACAUGUAUUGACGCUGAGGUGCGAAAGCGUGGGGAUCAAACAGG